GGCUCAGGAUGAACGCUGGCGGUAUGCUUAACACAUGCAAGUCGAACGAAAGUCUUCGGAUUUUAGUGGCGGACGGGUGAGUAACGCGUGAGGAUCUGCCUAUAGGUUGGGGACAACAGAUGGAAACGUCUGCUAAUACCCAAUGUGCCGAGAGGUGAAAGCUUUAGUGCCUGUAGNUGAGCUCGCGUCCGAUUAGCUAGUUGGUAGGGUAAAGGCUUACCAAGGCGACGAUCGGCAGCUGGUCUGAGAGGAUGAUCAGCCACACUGGGACUGAGACACGGCCCAGACUCCUACGGGAGGCAGCAGUGGGGAAUUUUCCGCAAUGGGCGAAAGCCUGACGGAGCAAUACCGCGUGCGGGACGAAGGCUUUUGGGUCGUAAACCGCUUUUGUUAGGGAAGAACACAAUGACGGUACCUAACGAAUCAGCAUCGGCUAACUCCGUGCCAGCAGCCGCGGUAAUACGGGGGAUGCAAGCGUUAUCCGGAAUUAUUGGGCGUAAAGCGUCCGCAGGUGGUUUAUCAAGUCUGCUGUCAAAUCGUAGAGCUUAACCCUGUAAAGGCAGUGGAAACUGAGAGACUAGAGUACGGUAGGGGUAGCGGGAAUUCCUAGUGUAGCGGUGAAAUGCGUAGAUAUUGGGAAGAACACCCGCGGCGAAGGCGCGCUACUGGGCCGAAACUGACACUCAUGGACGAAAGCUAGGGGAGCGAAAGGGAUUAG
Molecule: ribosomal RNA, 718 nt
Filed under: uncultured cyanobacterium
Lineage: Bacteria; Bacillati; Cyanobacteriota
Description: bacterial SSU rRNA
Rfam family: Bacterial small subunit ribosomal RNA
Source: RNAcentral